GCCCUGGUGGUCCAGUGGUUAAGACUCCAUGCUCCCAAUGCGGGGGACCUGAGUUCAAACCUUGGUCAGGGAA
RNAcentral lists this transfer RNA (73 nucleotides) under Bos taurus (domestic cattle). It matches the Rfam family "tRNA". From Rfam's summary of the family: Transfer RNA (tRNA) molecules are approximately 80 nucleotides in length. The record is from Rfam by way of RNAcentral. RNAcentral also lists the same sequence under 4 other names. Lineage: Eukaryota; Metazoa; Chordata; Mammalia; Artiodactyla; Bovidae.